CAUAGAUCUGGUUGUGACAUCUGUCACCCCAUUGAGCUCCAGGAUUGAUUUGGUAUUCUGUCUGGCUACACAGGUGCCCUCUAUCUCCCCCACCACGUCUUGCUUGUCCUUGCUGAAGCUGGGAUCUUGGUCACAGAGGACUACCUUCCCCAAACAGAGACAGACAAGUCUUUGGUCCAG
Molecule: small nuclear RNA, 180 nt
Filed under: Erinaceus europaeus (western European hedgehog)
Lineage: Eukaryota; Metazoa; Chordata; Mammalia; Eulipotyphla; Erinaceidae
Description: 7SK RNA
Rfam family: 7SK RNA
About the family: 7SK was discovered as an abundant small nuclear RNA in the mid-70s but a possible function has only recently been suggested. Two independent studies have found that 7SK RNA binds the CDK9/cyclin T complex (known as elongation factor P-TEFb).
Source: Rfam by way of RNAcentral